RNAcentral lists this ribosomal RNA (497 nucleotides) under uncultured bacterium. RNAcentral's name for it is "partial 16S ribosomal RNA". It matches the Rfam family "Bacterial small subunit ribosomal RNA", at positions 28 to 507 of the family's 1533-position model. The record is from RNAcentral.
GAUGAACGCUGGCGGCGUGCCUAAUACAUGCAAGUCGAGCGAACAGACGAGGAGCUUGCUCCUCUGACGUUAGCGGCGGACGGGUGAGUAACACGUGGAUAACCUACCUAUAAGACUGGGAUAACUUCGGGAAACCGGAGCUAAUACCGGAUAAUAUAUUGAACCGCAUGGUUCAAUAGUGAAAGACGGUUUUGCUGUCACUUAUAGAUGGAUCCGCGCCGCAUUAGCUAGUUGGUAAGGUAACGGCUUACCAAGGCGACGAUGCGUAGCCGACCUGAGAGGGUGAUCGGCCACACUGGAACUGAGACACGGUCCAGACUCCUACGGGAGGCAGCAGUGGGGAAUAUUGCGCAAUGGGCGAAAGCCUGACGGAGCAACGCCGCGUGAGUGAAGAAGGUCUUCGGGUCGUAAAACUCUGUUAUUGGGGAAGAAAAAAUGUGGGAGUAAAUAUGGACGUCUUGACGGUACCUAAUCAGAAAGCCACGGCUAACUACGUG